This 429-nucleotide ribosomal RNA is filed under the name Bacillota bacterium. RNAcentral describes it as "Firmicutes bacterium partial 16S ribosomal RNA". It matches the Rfam family "Bacterial small subunit ribosomal RNA", at positions 355 to 776 of the family's 1533-position model. The record is from RNAcentral. Lineage: Bacteria; Bacillati; Bacillota.
UAGGGAAUCUUCGGCAAUGGACGGAAGUCUGACCGAGCAACGCCGCGUGAGUGAAGAAGGUUUUCGGAUCGUAUAGCUCUGUUGUUAGAGAAGAACGUUGGUAGGAGUGGAAAAUCUACCAAGUGACGGUAACUAACCAGAAAGGGACGGCUAACUACGUGCCAGCAGCCGCGGUAAUACGUAGGUCCCGAGCGUUGUCCGGAUUUAUUGGGCGUAAAGCGAGCGCAGGCGGUUCUUUAAGUCUGAAGUUAAAGGCAGUGGCUUAGCCAUUGUGCGCUUUGGAAACUGGAGGACUUGAGUGCAGAAGGGGAGAGUGGAAUUCCAUGUGUAGCGGUGAAAUGCGUAGAUAUAUGGAGGAACACCGGUGGCGAAAGCGGCUCUCUGGUCAGUAACUGACGCUGAGGCUCGAAAGCGUGGGGAGCAAACAGG